AAUAGAUACCCCGGUAGUCCACGCCGUAAACGAUGAGUGCUAAGUGUUAGAGGGUUUCCGCCCUUUAGUGCUGCAGCUAACGCAUUAAGCACUCCGCCUGGGGAGUACGGCCGCAAGGCUGAAACUCAAAGGAAUUGACGGGGGCCCGCACAAGCGGUGGAGCAUGUGGUUUAAUUCGAAGCAACGCGAAGAACCUUACCAGGUCUUGACAUCCUCUGACCUCCCUGGAGACAGGGCCGUUCCCCCUUCGGGGGACGAGAGUGACAGGUGGUGCAUGGUUGUCGUCAGCUCGUGUCGUGAGAUGUUGGGUUAAGUCCCGCAACGAGCGCAACCCUUGACCUUAGUUGCCACGCAUUGAGUUGGGCACUCUAAGGUGACUGCCGGUGACAAACCGGAGGAAGGUGGGGAUGACGUCAAAUCAUCAUGCCCCUUAUGACCUGGGCUACACACGUGCUACAAUGGAUGGUACAAAAGGGCUGCGAGACCGCGAGGUUAAGCCAAUCCCAGAAAAACCAAUUCCCAGUUCGGAUUGCAGGCUGCAAACCCCG
This 548-nucleotide ribosomal RNA is filed under the name uncultured bacterium. RNAcentral's name for it is "bacterial SSU rRNA". It matches the Rfam family "Bacterial small subunit ribosomal RNA", at positions 777 to 1314 of the family's 1533-position model. The record is from RNAcentral.